Molecule: long non-coding RNA, 1540 nt
Filed under: Bemisia tabaci
Lineage: Eukaryota; Metazoa; Arthropoda; Insecta; Hemiptera; Aleyrodidae
Description: lncRNA ENSSSA2NGG009495
Source: RNAcentral
ACAUGUGUGGCCGAAAUACUGUGGAAGUGUUUCCGUUUCCGGUUUCCACAAUUUUUAAGGAAUUAUUGUGGAAAGGCUUUCCACAAUCUUUCACAAAGUUAGAAGGGUUUCCACAAUUUUCCGCAGAAUAUAGAACACCCUGCAUAUCUCAAUUCUUCCAUCUAAUCUUGUAUCUAAAAUUCUAAAUACAUUUUUAUUGCGUUACCACUAAUACUUGCGUUCGGUACAAGUCAACAACCCUCUUCGUUCCAAAUUCCCCACCAAACAAACAAACAAACAAAAAAAAAAAAAAAAAAAAAAAAAAGUCAUCACUUUUUGUGGAAGGGGUCACGAAAUUGUGGAAAUUUUUUUCAAUUUUUUUGUGGAAGAGGAAAAGCUUAUCGCGCGAAAUUGUGGAGGCAUAGUAAAAUGUGCACCCCUGAUUUCCUCUCACUUCUCUACAAGACUUCCAAUUACUUCUCAGAUUAACAUAAAGAUUUAUUUCAUUUGACUGUCGACAGGCUCCAAAGUCAAUGAAUCAAUAGUUGUAGCUCUGGACCUGACUCAUCUGUAUCUUGCCUCCCUGAGGCUCUAUGAAUGAAAUGUCUACAGGCCCUGCACAUGACAGAGGCAGCCAUGAAGUUGUGCAGAGCUCUCUAGGCAGAUUGUGGCAUCUGAAAUUGAACAUCGUGGACAAAAAGACAAAUUCACCUGUGAUAUCUGUGAUAAAAGAUUUACCCGCAAAGACUCAGUUAAUCGCCAUCAGUUGGUUCACUAUCAGAAAUACGUUCUAGAUUUGAAGAACCUGAAAGUUCCAACAGAGUAUUUUAAAAGUGAUAAAAACAUUAUUUCACCUUUCGCAACACAACUUUAUUUUCUGGAUUAGAAAGUCAGGUAAAGAACACUAGACCUUUUUAACAAUGUGUUCCGUCUCUUAUUUCUCAAAAUUGUUCUUAGAACUGUAGAACCCAACAUUUAGAGAAUCAAGCCUCAUCCUGUAAGUCGUUUUAACAGCAAUCCCGGCUUUUUUGACAAUUUAGAAAGGAAGCUCUUUCUCUAACAAAAUAUAUUAGGUUCCUCUAUUCUCAGAAUAUGUCCAUUGAGGUGAUUUUAUAACUCUUUUUAGAACGAUUCGAUAAUCUAACAAUUACUUGACAAUUUUGAAUUGUAAAACGUUUUCCCAAAAAUCUUAAUUAUUCUUAUCAUGCUGUAGUAUGUCAGUUAUACAUAGGAUUCGAACAAGGAAUACUUAAAAAUAAUUCUGACAGUAUGUCCUGAAUGAAUAUCUCAAACUGUCUCAUCUUUGAUCCGCAAUUUUACUUGAUAUGUACUUUCUGAGUUAUUCAAAAUAAUCAAAGGUCAAAUCUUAUGAAGUAACAUCUGACGCACCCCCACAUGAUGUGAAUAUUGGAGAUUUUUGGGGGAAAAAUUCUUUUCAGAAAUUAUCAGCUGUAUAGUCGACAAUGUAAUCGUUCUCAAGUGUUUGAAAAAUAUCUACAUAAAUAUGAAGGAGAUUUCAUAUUAAUAUUAAACAAAGAGAAAUUCUACCUGACAGAUUAUU